Molecule: ribosomal RNA, 923 nt
Filed under: Orbicula parietina
Lineage: Eukaryota; Fungi; Ascomycota; Pezizomycetes; Pezizales; Pyronemataceae
Description: eukaryotic LSU rRNA
Rfam family: Eukaryotic large subunit ribosomal RNA
Source: RNAcentral
AGCAUAUCAAUAAGCGGAGGAAAAGAAACCAACAGGGAUUGCCUUAGUAACUGCGAGUGAAGCGGCAAAAGCUCAAAUUUGAAAUCUGGCGUCUUCGACGUCCGAAUUGUAAUUUGGAGAGACAUCUUCGGAGUAGACGCCGUCCUAAGUUCCUUGGAACAGGACGUCACAGAGGGUGAGAAUCCCGUGCCUGGAUGGCUGUUCUACUUCAUGUGAAGUGUCUUCGACGAGUCGAGUUGUUUGGGAAUGCAGCUCAAAAUGGGAGGUAAAUUUCUUCUAAAGCUAAAUAUUGGCGAGAGACCGAUAGCGCACAAGUAGAGUGAUCGAAAGAUGAAAAGCACUUUGAAAAGAGAGUUAAAAAGUACGUGAAAUUGUUGAAAGGGAAGCGCUUGAGACCAGACUCGAUCAGUGGUGAUCAGCGGUGCUUCUGUACCGUGCACUUGCCAUUGAUUGGGCCAGCAUCGGUUUAGACGGCGGGAUAAAGACCUAAGGAAUGUGGCUCCUCUCGGGGAGUGUUAUAGCCUUGGGUGCAAUGCCGCCAGUUUGGACCGAGGACCGCGCUUCGGCUAGGAUGCUGGCGUAAUGGUCUUCAGCGACCCGUCUUGAAACACGGACCAAGGAGUCUAACAUCUAUGCGAGUGUUCGGGUGGAAAACCCUUGCGCGUAAUGAAAGUGAACGGAGGUGAGAACACUUCGGUGUGCAUCAUCGACCGAUCCAGAUGUCUUCGGAUGGAUUUGAGUAUGAGCAUAGCUGUUGGGACCCGAAAGAUGGUGAACUAUGCCUGAAUAGGGUGAAGCCAGAGGAAACUCUGGUGGAGGCUCGCAGCGGUUCUGACGUGCAAAUCGAUCGUCAAAUUUGGGUAUAGGGGCGAAAGACUAAUCGAACCAUCUAGUAGCUGGUUCCUGCCGAAGUUUCCCUCAGG